AGUGAACGCUGGCGGUAGGCCUAACACAUGCAAGUCGAACGGCAGCACAGGAGAGCUUGCUCUCCGGGUGGCGAGUGGCGGACGGGUGAGGAAUACAUCGGAAUCUACCUUUUCGUGGGGGAUAACGUAGGGAAACUUACGCUAAUACCGCAUAAGACCUUCGGGUGAAAGCCGGGGACCUUCGGGCCUGGCGCGGAUAG
Molecule: ribosomal RNA, 200 nt
Filed under: uncultured bacterium
Lineage: Bacteria
Description: partial 16S ribosomal RNA
Rfam family: Bacterial small subunit ribosomal RNA
Source: RNAcentral